CCCAGGGGGAGAAGUGCUUUCCUACACCGUUGGAGAGGAAGCCAGCCCUGUGUCUGUGCUCCUCUCUACCUACCACUUCGCAGAGCCCUUGGACGACUGUGGAGAUAAACCAUGCAGGAAACAGCG
RNAcentral lists this small nucleolar RNA (126 nucleotides) under Cavia porcellus (domestic guinea pig). RNAcentral's name for it is "Small nucleolar RNA SNORA73 family (ENSCPOG00000028749.2)". Lineage: Eukaryota; Metazoa; Chordata; Mammalia; Rodentia; Caviidae. The record is from RNAcentral.